This 746-nucleotide ribosomal RNA is filed under the name uncultured Parvimonas sp. RNAcentral's name for it is "bacterial SSU rRNA". It matches the Rfam family "Bacterial small subunit ribosomal RNA", at positions 28 to 776 of the family's 1533-position model. The record is from RNAcentral. Lineage: Bacteria; Bacillati; Bacillota; Tissierellia; Tissierellales; Peptoniphilaceae.
GACGAACGCUGGCGGCGUGCUUAACACAUGCAAGUCGAACGUGGUUUUUGUGGAAAUUCUUUCGGGAAUGGAAAUGAAAUGAAAGUGGCGAACGGGUGAGUAACACGUGAGCAACCUACCUUACACAGGGGGAUAGCCGUUGGAAACGACGAUUAAUACCGCAUGAGACCACAGAAUCGCAUGAUAUAGGGGUCAAAGAUUUAUCGGUGUAAGAAGGGCUCGCGUCUGAUUAGCUAGUUGGAAGGGUAAAGGCCUACCAAGGCGACGAUCAGUAGCCGGUCUGAGAGGAUGAACGGCCACAUUGGAACUGAGACACGGUCCAAACUCCUACGGGAGGCAGCAGUGGGGAAUAUUGCACAAUGGGGGGAACCCUGAUGCAGCGACGCCGCGUGAGCGAAGAAGGUUUUCGAAUCGUAAAGCUCUGUCCUAUGAGAAGAUAAUGACGGUAUCAUAGGAGGAAGCCCCGGCUAAAUACGUGCCAGCAGCCGCGGUAAUACGUAUGGGGCGAGCGUUGUCCGGAAUUAUUGGGCGUAAAGGGUACGUAGGCGGCCUUUUAAGUCAGGUGUGAAAGCGUGAGGCUUAACCUCAUUAAGCACUUGAAACUGGAAGACUUGAGUGAAGGAGAGGAAAGUGGAAUUCCUAGUGUAGCGGUGAAAUGCGUAGAUAUUAGGAGGAAUACCGGUGGCGAAGGCGACUUUCUGGACUUUUACUGACGCUCAGGUACGAAAGCGUGGGGAGCAAACAGG